CCUACGGGGGGCAGCAGUGGGGAAUAUUGGUCAAUGGGCGCAAGCCUGACCCAGCAACGCCGCGUGAAGGAAGAAGGCUCUCGGGUUGUAAACUUCUUUUAUCAGGGACGAAGCAAGUGACGGUACCUGAUGAAUAAGCCUCGGCUAACUACGUGCCAGCAGCCGCUGUAAUACGUAGGUGGCAAUCGUUAUCCGGAUUUACUGGGUGUAAAGGUCGUUUAGGCGCGAAAGCAAGUCAGAUGUGAAAACCAUGGGCUCAACCUGUGGCCUGCAUUUGAAACUGUUUGUCUUGAGUACUGGAGAGGAAGACGGAAUGCCCAGGGUAGCGGUGAAAUGCGUAGAUAUUAGGAGGAACACCAGUGGCGAAGGUGGUAUGCUGGACAGAAACUGACGCUGAGGCGCGAAAGCGUGGGUAGCAAACAGGAUUAGAUACCCGAGUAGUC
Molecule: ribosomal RNA, 443 nt
Filed under: uncultured bacterium
Lineage: Bacteria
Description: partial 16S ribosomal RNA
Rfam family: Bacterial small subunit ribosomal RNA
Source: RNAcentral